Molecule: non-coding RNA, 72 nt
Organism: Fusarium oligoseptatum
Lineage: Eukaryota; Fungi; Ascomycota; Sordariomycetes; Hypocreales; Nectriaceae
Source: the annotation of a GenBank genome assembly
CGGGGCAUGGCUGAGUGGUAAAGCGUUCAGUUCGGGGCUGAGACUUCCUAUGUUCGAUUCAUAGUGACCCGA